GCCCCUGUGGCUCAGUGGUAGAGCGCCUGACUACGAAUAAGGCGCUUUUACGCGUGUAAUUGUUCUUAUCAGGAGGUCCAGGUUUCGAACACCUGCUGGGGUU
This is a non-coding RNA of Kwoniella sp. CBS 9459, 103 nucleotides long. The record is from the annotation of a GenBank genome assembly. Lineage: Eukaryota; Fungi; Basidiomycota; Tremellomycetes; Tremellales; Cryptococcaceae.